AACGAACGCUGGCGGCAUGCCUAACACAUGCAAGUCGAACGAGACCUUCGGGUCUAGUGGCGCACGGGUGCGUAACGCGUGGGAACCUGCCCUUAGGUUCGGAAUAACUCCCCGAAAGGGGUGCUAAUACCGCAUAAUGUCUUCGGACCAAAGAUUUAUUGCCUUUGGAUGGGCCCGCGUUGGAUUAGCUAGUUGGUAGGGUAAAAGCCUACCAAGGCGACGAUCCAUAGCUGGUCUGUGAGGAUGAUCAGCCACACUGGGACUGAGACACGGCCCAGACUCCUACGGAAGGGAGCAGAGGAGAAUAUUGGACAAGGGGCGAAAGCCUGAUCCAGCAAUGCCGGGUAAGUGAUGAAGGCCGUAGGGUUGUAAAGCUCUUUUACCCGAGAUGAUAAUGACAGUACCGGGAGAAUAAGCACCGGCUAACUCCGUG
This 433-nucleotide ribosomal RNA is filed under the name uncultured bacterium. RNAcentral's name for it is "partial 16S ribosomal RNA". It matches the Rfam family "Bacterial small subunit ribosomal RNA", at positions 29 to 507 of the family's 1533-position model. The record is from RNAcentral.